Molecule: ribosomal RNA, 497 nt
Filed under: uncultured bacterium
Lineage: Bacteria
Description: partial 16S ribosomal RNA
Rfam family: Bacterial small subunit ribosomal RNA
Source: RNAcentral
GACGAACGCUGGCGGCGUGCCUAAUACAUGCAAGUUGAGCGCUGAAGGUUGGUACUUGUACCAACUGGAUGAGCAGCGAACGGGUGAGUAACGCGUGGGGAAUCUGCCUUUGAGCGGGGGACAACAUUUGGAAACGAAUGCUAAUACCGCAUAAAAACUUUAAACACAAGUUUUAAGUUUGAAAGAUGCAAUUGCAUCACUCAAAGAUGAUCCCGCGUUGUAUUAGCUAGUUGGUGAGGUAAAGGCUCACCAAGGCGAUGAUACAUAGCCGACCAGAGAGGGUGAUCGGCCACAUUGGGACUGAGACACGGCCCAAACUCCUACGGGAGGCAGCAGUAGGGAAUCUUCGGCAAUGGACGAAAGUCUGACCGAGCAACGCCGCGUGAGUGAAGAAGGUUGUCGGAUCGUAAAACUCUGUUGGUAGAGAAGAACGUUGGUGAGAGUGGAAAGCUCAUCAAGUGACGGUAACUACCCAGAAAGGGACGGCUAACUACGUG